GGUCUUAUAUUCAUAAGUAUAAAUGAUAUAAAAUUGCAAAUUUUAAGGAGUAUAAAGAAAUACUAAGGCUU
This 71-nucleotide transfer RNA is filed under the name Singara diversalis. RNAcentral describes it as "tRNA-Cys". The record is from RNAcentral. Lineage: Eukaryota; Metazoa; Arthropoda; Insecta; Lepidoptera; Erebidae.